CUUCCUGGGCAGUCAGCUGCAGGCUCCAUCAGGCUCCCUUUCGUUCCAGCCCCACUGUGAGCCCCUAGGGGACCGGCAGGAGCGAUGAGGUCCCCAGAAUUCAGCACUGUGCCGAGCUGGCCGGGCCACCCCUCUGGUCAAAUGGCUCAGGGCAGCGGGCUCCCUGGGACUGCUCAACAUGGGCGCCCCCGGCUGAUCCAUGGCUCAUGGGCUGCUGGGGAAGACGGGGCCAGAGCUCCUCUGUCUCCCCUGCUUUGAUGCCCCUCCUUGUCCGGGGCCAUCUUGAGGACCUCAGUGAUCCCCCAUAGACCCUGGCCACAGUCACACCUGGCCCCCACCCAGGGAAGAGCAAUGCUGCCCAGGAGGGCCCGUCCACCUGUGGGGCCUGGAGAUGCAGGACAAGCAUCAUUUGACUCCAGGGAACAGCAAUGCCGGCCGGGAGUGCCCAUCCAUGGGAAGAUGCUGGAGAAUCGACGUGGUUCCUGGUCCUGCUGCUGGGUCAGGACCUCAGAGGCCCCUGGAGUAUGUGCCUAGCCCACCCGCCCCCAGGCCCUCGCCUUCCAUAACCAACUCAAAAUGAAAACAGACCAAACCAUACAAUAAAAACGUGCAAUUUUAACAGUGGGGGAGCCUAACGUGGGCGGAAGGCGCGGGCUGCCCGGGGUUGGAUUCCGGGCCUUUCCUUACCAGCUGCACGACCUUGGGGACGCUGCGUACAUCUCCCUGUCCUCGAUUUCUCUUAUCUGUGAAAUGGGGAGAUCACAGAACCUCUUUCAAGGUCCCUGUGAGUGUGUUCAUAGAUACAAACCCUUAGAACGAUGUCUGGCAUUAGACACAGUGAUCAACAAUCAGGUGUUAUCAUUGAACGUGACACACGGAGCCCGUGUCUGCUGGAAUGAAAGCAGGUUCCUUCCGGGUUUGGGCUGCUCCUGAGUUCGCUUUGUGCCUGUGGGUCUGGACAGUCCAGGCCUCUGGGGCCUUUCCCCAGGGCUCCAGCCAGACAAUGGUGGACACGGCGCAGGGGCAGAGGGUGCUGGCCGG
RNAcentral lists this long non-coding RNA (1041 nucleotides) under Homo sapiens (human). RNAcentral's name for it is "HSALNT0117597". The record is from RNAcentral. Lineage: Eukaryota; Metazoa; Chordata; Mammalia; Primates; Hominidae.